This is an RNA transcript of Mandrillus leucophaeus (drill), 940 nucleotides long. It is a transcript of the gene named keratin, type II cytoskeletal 8 pseudogene, with no coding region annotated. The record is from RefSeq and is a predicted model, not a curated record. The transcript has a single exon. Lineage: Eukaryota; Metazoa; Chordata; Mammalia; Primates; Cercopithecidae.
AUGCACAAGGUAGAGCUUGAGUCUCGCCUGGAAGGACUCACUGACGAGAUCAACUUCCUCAGGCAGCUGUGUGAAAAGGGGAUCCGUGAACUACAGUCCUAGAUCUCAAACAGGUCUGUGGUGCUGUCCAUGGACAACAGCCGCUCCCUGGAAUGGACAGCAUCAUGGCUGAGAUCAAGGCGCGGUACCAGGAGACUGGCAACCGCAGCCGGGCUGAGGCUGAGAGCAGGUACCAGAUCAAGUAUGAGGAACUGCAGACGCUGGCUGCGAAGCACGGGGAUGACCUGGGGCGUACAAAGACUGAGAUCUCCGAGAUGAACAUCAGCCGGAACAUCAACCGGCUCCAGGCUGAGAUUGAGGGCGGGCUUCCCUGGAGGCUGCCAUCGCAGACGCCAAGCAGCGUGGGUAGCUGGCCGUUGAGGAUGCCAACGCCAAGUUGUCCGAGCUGCAGGCUGCCCUGCAGCGGGCCAAGCAGGACGUGGUGCGGCAGCUGCGUGAGUACCAGGAGCUGAUGAACGUCAAGCUGGCCCUGGACAUCGAGAUCGCCACCUACAGGAAGCUGCUGGAGGGCAAGGAGAGCCGGCUGGAGUCUGGGAUGCAGAACGUGAGCACCCAUAGGAAGACCACCAGCGGCUAUGCAGGUGGUCUGAGCUCCGCCUAUGGCGGCCUCACAAGCCCCGGCCUCAGCUACGGCCUGGGUUCCAGCUUUGGCUCUGGUGCGGGCUCCGGCUCCUUCAGCCGCACCAGCUCCACCAGGGCCAUGGUUGUGAAGAAGAUCGAGACCCGGGAUGGGAAGCUGGUGUUCCAGUCCUCUGACAUCCUGCCCAAGGGAACAGCUGCGGCAGCCCCUCCCAGCGUGCCCCUCCUGUGGCUGCCCCAGAGCCCGGGAGGGAGGUUGCUGUGCAGGGGAGCACAGCGAACGGGAGGGAGGCUCACCUGA